This 437-nucleotide ribosomal RNA is filed under the name uncultured bacterium. RNAcentral describes it as "partial 16S ribosomal RNA". It matches the Rfam family "Bacterial small subunit ribosomal RNA", at positions 29 to 507 of the family's 1533-position model. The record is from RNAcentral.
AGCAAACGCUGGCGGCAGGCUUAACACAUGCAAGUCGAGCGGGCAUCCUUGUGGUGUCAGCGGCAGACGGGUGAGUAACGCGUGGGAACGUGCCCUUCGGUUCGGAAUAACUCAGGGAAACUUGAGCUAAUACCGGAUACGUGCGAGAGCAGAAAGGUUUAUCUGCCGAAGGAUCGGCCCGCGUCUGAUUAGCUAGUUGGUGAGGUUACGGCUCACCAAGGCGACGAUCAGUAGCUGGUCUGAGAGGAUGAUCAGCCACACUGGGACUGAGACACGGCCCAGACUCCUACGGGAGGCAGCAGUGGGGAAUAUUGGACAAUGGGGGCAACCCUGAUCCAGCCAUGCCGCGUGAGUGAUGACGGCCUUAGGGUUGUAAAGCUCUUUUCUCCGGGACGAUAAUGACGGUACCGGAGGAAUAAGCCCCGGCUAACUUCGUG